UGAGUAGACGCAGCAGGAGCAAACUUUCCCACAGUACCACAAAACCCAUAGCAUACUUUUCCUAACAAAUAACAUGUCUUUCCUUCUGCCCUCUUCUAUUCUACCCCAGAAUGAGCUGCAGUGUUGUACCAGACCACAGUUCUCUAAUGGAAGCAGCUGUUGACCCUUCGGAUAUUCCAGAUUUGCAGCAGAUCAAAAGCUACAGUGGGGUCUUCCCCUUCUCAGGAGGCCCGGAAACAAGAGCAGAACCUGCCAGUUCAGGCCAAUAUCUGCUGCAGGGUGAUGAUGAUGCUGCAGGAGGAAACAGAUUUCUCCCUGACAAGACAGAAGACAAAUACUCUUCCAACUCGCUCUCCCUUGAUUGAAAUGACACAUCGCUACAUCUUUCUCUUGUACAUGACUUACAAUCACAGCUCAUUAUCCUUGACCUGUCCUUAACACUGUACAGUCUGCCUAAAAUAAAGGUUGAAUAGUCUUUUUGACUGCUCUGUUCCCAUGGAAAACUUCUGUUUGUUUUGUCAGAAGCUGUAUAUUUUAAAAGAGUAUCUACCUUGACAACUCCGAGAGACCUUGACUGUAUCAGGAAAGAGUUCUGCUCUUUUAAUAGAAAUAUCCCCCCUUGACAAGAAGUAAAUAUAUCGCCCAUAACUGCC
Harpia harpyja (harpy eagle) is the source of this 653-nucleotide long non-coding RNA. RefSeq lists it as uncharacterized. The transcript has 3 exons. Lineage: Eukaryota; Metazoa; Chordata; Aves; Accipitriformes; Accipitridae. The record is from RefSeq and is a predicted model, not a curated record.